CAGGUCAGUGAAGCUGAGAAACAAUAAGAAACAGUAUUUAUAUGACUGUGGAGGAACUUAGGAAAGCCACGAGGAUGCCUGGAAUUGGGAGGAUCAAUGGAGCAUCAGACACACAGUUGCACCCAGUACAUGGGACACAGCGAGAAUGGAAGCCAUGGGGAAGAAAAAAGCAUCAAGAGAUCAGGAUCCAGUCUCAGGAUUAACACAAUGCCUGCCACGCAUUAGGGCUUGAACAGUAUGUUUUUGAAUGAGUGAGUAAAUAUGAUGGAAUUUCAAGGCUUCCAUACUUCAGGAAAGGGAUUUUAGGUCAAGAAUCUGGUGCUCUGUGUUUUAUUUAUGUUGAAAUAAAGUCAAAUGUCAUACAUCUGUU
Molecule: long non-coding RNA, 370 nt
Organism: Felis catus (domestic cat)
Lineage: Eukaryota; Metazoa; Chordata; Mammalia; Carnivora; Felidae
Exons: 2
Source: RefSeq, a predicted model, not a curated record